RNAcentral lists this ribosomal RNA (430 nucleotides) under uncultured eukaryote. Its description in RNAcentral is "SSU rRNA". It matches the Rfam family "Eukaryotic small subunit ribosomal RNA", at positions 592 to 1018 of the family's 1831-position model. The record is from RNAcentral.
CAAUAGCGUAUAUUAAAGUUGUUGCAGUUAAAAAGCUCGUAGUUGGAUUUCUGGUUUGGUGCGCCUGGCCCGCCGCGGUUACGCGUGUGAGUGCUGGUUGCGCGCCUGCCAUCCUUCUGGAAAACGUCUCUACCCUUCACUGGGCCGGAUUCGCGCUCCAGAUCCUUUACUUUGAAAAAUUAGAGUGUUCAAAGCAGGCUUACGCUGUGAAUACAUUAGCAUGGAAUAAUAAUUUAGGACUUUGGUUCUAUUUUGUUGGUUUCUAGGACUGAAGUAAUGAUUGAUAGGGAUAGUUGGGGGUGCUAGUAUUCAGCGGCCAGAGGUGAAAUUCUUGGAUUCGCUGAAGACUAACUUAUGCGAAAGCAUUCACCAAGGAUGUCUUCUUUAAUCAAGAACGAAAGUUGGGGGAUCGAAGACGAUCAGAUACCAU